CACAAAGCUACUAAGUUUGACUUUCGCAGACAAUGUAUCUGUGACUCCCGCUUGUUUUUUACAUUUACCUUCAUUCCACAGCCCUGAGUUACUGGGUGAGUCCAAGACAUCUCCUCAAUAUAAAGUAGCACACUGCGUUACUAUAUGUUGCAACCGGGAGCCAGUACAGACUUUAUUCACCUCACAGUUGCAAGUGUUCAAUGCAGUCACAAUGCCCCUCAGCAGUGCUCAUGUGCUGCCUGUUUUUAGGAAGUAUUCACGUCUAAGUGGUGUGUAUAUCUUAUAGGAACACUUAGUAUUUUUAAAACCUGAUUAAUUAAAAAAAAUUAGUUUCUAGGCAGUCCCAAAUAUAGUAUUAAAGGCCAACUGCAAAGAAGGAACACUAAGUGUUUUUUAAACCUUAUUAACAUAAAAAACAUUAGUUUUUAGGCAGUCCUACAUUAGGUAUUAAAGGCCAACUGCAAAGAACACUGAGCGAGGCUCUGUAGAUGGAUGUAAUAAAAAUCUAUAAAACAAUGUGUUUAAACCUAAGAAUUCUACUGCUUUCCAAUUCCUUCCCUCUGCUCCUUUUCCUAACCUCCUGCUUCUCCAGCCCUUCCCUCUGUCCCUUUCAUCCCUCAGGCCCUCCUCUCCCCUUAGUCCCCACCACCCUGUCACUUCUAAAUUGUGGCUCUAGCAUUGUCCCAUUACCUGCUACGUGACUGUUCUCUCCACAGUGGUCCUGCUCCUGUGAGUCAGAGUGUGUCAUUUCCUCACCUAAAACACUCCAGUGGCUCCACCUCGGUCUUGUGAAGCUUCUAGAAUGUCAGGCACGUGAGCAUAUGAGGGCAUACCUGGUUCAUCUUAGGCACUAAAUUUUUGUUGACUGAAUGAAUGAAAUAUGAAUGUAUUAAAUUGCAUCACAGAAAGUUAUAAAAUGUAAAACACUGAAAAAUUAAGAAAUAUUUUAUUUUAUGUAACUAGUGUGCAUAUCAAUUCAUUCCGAGUCUGUUGAGCCUGUGUAUGAAUUUUAUAAGAUUGCAUAACAAAUUAUCACAAACAUUGACUUUAAACAACACCC
Molecule: long non-coding RNA, 1060 nt
Filed under: Homo sapiens (human)
Lineage: Eukaryota; Metazoa; Chordata; Mammalia; Primates; Hominidae
Description: non-protein coding lnc-RNF39-13:4
Source: RNAcentral